Molecule: long non-coding RNA, 701 nt
Filed under: Pan troglodytes (chimpanzee)
Lineage: Eukaryota; Metazoa; Chordata; Mammalia; Primates; Hominidae
Description: lincRNA
Source: RNAcentral
CUGGUUCCUGAGUCAAUUCCAUCCAGGUAGGAGGAAUCCUAUCAGAAAGUAUGUGAGUGCGUUUGCAGAGUACAUUCCUGUGGAGCCCCCUUAUCUCUGGCUGCAUCUGCUUCUGCAGGGAGAAAGUAUCCCUGCUGUGAGAGGUCUGGGAUCUGGAGUACAGAGGAUGGUGAAGCCAAGGCCUGAAGACCUUUCCCGCAAGGUUGCAGAGGAAGAGGCAGAAGAAGGACCAGAACCCAGCUCCCCUGACUCCCUAUCCAGUGCUCUUCUCAUAGAUUACAUUGCUUCAGCAUCCACCUGGCUAUUGCUCCAUCCAGGGGUUACAGGAGUCACUGACUGUUUUGGUUGCUUCUUGGUUGGAGGAUGUUGUGCCUCACCGAUGAGAGCUGGAAGCAAAGGUACCAGUUCUUAGAGGAAGCGUAGGAAUGUGUCCCUUCCUGCUCGGGUCUCUCAACUGAACUCAACCCUUCCUUGAUUGAUUGACAAGCAUGUUAUCUCUCAUAAUCCCUGCCCGGUAAGGGCUGAUGUUCCCAUUUUACACAUGAGGAUAUUGGAGCUCAGAGAAGUGAAAUGAUUGCUGAAGGUCACACAGCCUGGCUUCAAGCCUCUCGGGCUCCAAAAGGCAUCUUCUGUUCUCUCCGUCAGGAAGCCUCUUUUGGGUGAUUAACUGAGAUUAAAAAUGAAAAUAUACAUGAAAGAAA